RNAcentral lists this long non-coding RNA (885 nucleotides) under Gallus gallus (chicken). RNAcentral describes it as "lncRNA (ENSGALG00010001086.1)". Lineage: Eukaryota; Metazoa; Chordata; Aves; Galliformes; Phasianidae. The record is from RNAcentral.
GUCUUGCUGGAAAGAGCUUCCUAAUAGCACGGCUGUGAGUGAAACCAGCACAGUAUGUUCAGUGUGGAGGUCCUCCUGAUUUCACAUGGAUCCAAACUGUCUAAAAAACUCCCUGCUUCAUACAAGAACAGAUAUGAUGGAUACUGAUUAUCUGCAUGAAUCCACAGGGAACAUAUCUGCUCAGAGGACACCGAAUGGUCCUGAAGUAGAACCUGAGAACCAAUUCAACCAGCGCUGAAAGCAGCCAUGGGACCCAAGGGAGGCAAGUGGGCCCUAGUUAUCACCAUGACCUUCAGGGUUUGUCCCCUUUUCAUACUUCAGAAGGGAGUGACCAUUUCCAUGUAUGUUGAGAUGACGGAUAAUAGACUCAAGAUGUGCCAGGGGAAGUUCAGGUUGGAUACUGGAAAUAAUUUCUUAUCAGAAAGAGUGGUGAGACAUUGGAACAGGCUGCCCGGGUAGAUGGUGGAGUCACCAUCCCUAGAGGCGUUCAAGAAAUGUGUGGAUGUGGCACUGAGGGAUGUAGUUUAGUGGGCAUGGUGGUGAUGGGCUGAUGAUUGCACUAAAUGAUCUUAGUGGUCUUUUCCAACCUUUAUGUUGCUAUGAUUCUACGAUUGUUUUCCUCUUCCAUGUGUGUGUGAUUGCAGACAAACUGAGAAGACACAGUGAGGAAAAGAAUGUGUAUAGUGUUUUGUUCUUUUCUACUUCUUCAGCUUUUAUUGGUGUCCACAGGAAAAAAGGAAUCAAAAUCCAGGAAAGAGGGAACCUAUCAGAAAAAAAAAAUGCAGAAGACCCUACUAAAACUAGAAGUAAUUACAGAGUCCCAUGUGACAGAUCAGAGGAAGUAUGGCUGUUACUGUACACCGUAUUAGAAGUUAUUAUUCCCAG